GAUAAUAAUUAAAUAUAUUUUAACGCAAACAUUAUUCAACAUGGACUUUUUGGUAUUUUUGAAAAUAUAAGGCCUAAAUUUAGAGAAACUCUAGCUUAAACUAAAGGGACUAAAAAAGUAUUUACCCAAAAAUUCACUAUGAUGAUGUCAAAGAAUGAUGUACUAGCUAGUCCAAUCUAACUUGUAACAACACACAAGAGAAAUCAAAUAUCAAAAUAAAUUUAAUAUAUAGCUAAAAUAUUUGUGAAAGUAAAGUUCUAUUUCUUCAAAUUCUUAAUUAGCCAUAUAGCUAGAGUGAUAUUAUUUAUGAAGCUCAAAUAGGCAAGUAUAUAUAUGUAUAUGUGCGCGUGUGUGUGUGUGUGUGUCUAUAUAAUGAAUGCUCAACAACGAGUACAAAUAAAGACACCAAUCUUGCAAUGAAACUCCAAUUAAACAGCAUUAUAUUAAGCAUCACAGGCAUAUAUACCAAGAGAUGGACCCAUCUCGCAAAGAUGUCUCGUAAAUUUUUAUUAUGUCGCUCCAUCAAUUCUUCUUUUCAGUGUCUUAUAUUUUCAACUCACAAAUUUGUGUAAAGAGACCAUAUUAUUGACCAUGAAAAUUAGAAUAAAUUUUUUUUCACCUUUAUCUUGCUAAAAAUGGAAAUUUUUGGUAUCCCAAUAUAUUCUGCAUCAGACAAAGAGACCAUAUUGUAUAAAGAACCUGUGCAGAAAUUUUGAUGUAGAGCAUAUUGAUCUUUUGUGGCUUUCACUUGAGACCUGUUCUAAUAUAAUGGUCAAAUAUUAAUUAUUAUCGGUCCAGUUGAGGUUCAGUGGUUAAUUGAAAUAUCACAAGCGUACUGUAGCGGCGCGCUUAGUUGAUUCAAUUGAAAAUAACACAUUCCAUUAAUUAAUUUUUGGGCCCCACGUGAUCGGAUUCUCGUUUGGAAGCAGUAAAUCAUGGCGAUCCUGAAAAUCUUGUACAUAAAAUUGUCAUCAUAUUAUGUCAUGCAGGCACUGUCAUUUCAUUUCCUUGUCUUUCAUAUGCAUGCACAUGCACUCAAUCAAAAACCUUCAUUUUUCCAAGAAGAAUUUAAGGGUAUCACCAACCCAGCCUGAUUAAUAAUCUAUAAGCCAAGUCAAGUAAAGUCCAAAUUGUAAAACUUUUCAAAAAGAAAAAAUAUCGCCGACAAGCAACUCAGGCAGCGAUUAUAUUUUAAAUUGGAGAACAUGUGCCUCUCAAUUUGAGUGGAGACUUUUAGUCUGGGUUGUGGUACGAGUUUAAAGGUGUCUCUUACAGUUGGGACCCUCCCCAGGAUACAUUAUAGUCAAAACAAAAAAAUAUAUUUUAAAUUGGAGUGGGAAUCUUAGAAUUAGGAGUGUACAGUGGAAGUGAGAGUAGAUUAUUUAUUUAUAUUAUAAUGGAAGCAUGAAAUAGAGAUUAUAAUCCAAUUUAUGUGUUAACUUUGUCUUAAAUUGA
Molecule: long non-coding RNA, 1455 nt
Filed under: Citrus x clementina
Lineage: Eukaryota; Viridiplantae; Streptophyta; Magnoliopsida; Sapindales; Rutaceae
Description: Citrus clementina (C. clementina) long non-coding RNA (CCLE_LNC005742)
Source: RNAcentral